This is a long non-coding RNA of Vombatus ursinus (common wombat), 1614 nucleotides long. RefSeq lists it as uncharacterized. Lineage: Eukaryota; Metazoa; Chordata; Mammalia; Diprotodontia; Vombatidae. The record is from RefSeq and is a predicted model, not a curated record. The transcript has 4 exons.
GAAAGAAAGACAGAGCUGACCAGGUCUCAAAGGAGACAAAGUUAUAACAAUGCUUCAGUACUUGGAUGGAGCUGUGAUCUCAGCAUGAUAGAUGGCUCAGUGGGUGGAAUGCCAGGCCUGGAAGCAGGAAGACUCGCCUUCAUGAGUUCAAAUCUGGCCUCAUACACUUGUGCGUCCCAGUGUAACCCUGAGGACCCUCGUACGUGGGUUAGCGUUCCCACGCCCAUUUCUUUUUGAGUUUGAUACCACUGAUAUAGAUGAUAAGCCUCCAAAGGAGAUUGCAAGGAUUGGUCAGGUGAGGAAACUGAGGCACAGAAGAGUUAAGUCACCUGCCAGGGUCAUCAAGCUGGUUGUAUUUGAACUCAGGUCUCCCUUACUCCAAGGGCAGCUCUUCAUUGACUCUGCCAUGUGGCCUCCACCUGAGCAUCAGAGAGGUGACCUGAUGUGUUCAAACUCACGGGAUUGAUAAGUAUGAUAAGUAGUCACACCAGGUUAGAAACAUGUCCCCUUGUCUCCAAAUCCAGUGGCAUUUUCAUUGUGCGCCACAGCCUUUUAAUGGGUAUUGGAUAGCUAUUGGACAUUAGUGGAGACAUAUCUAGUAUCUUCAGCUAAAUCCCCGUUCCUUUCCUGGAAAUGAUGGAAAAGGAGCGUUCCUGUUUAUCCCUCUGAUUUCAAUGCUUUGCCCAGCUCCAAUGUACACUUUGAUAUUACUGAUAAUAUUCCGGAAGGCGUGUGAUUGGUGGCACCAGGCAUCUUCGAGCUGUUGGAAAGACCCAGGGCAGCAGCAAAGCAUGAUAGGCUCUGGCUCUUCCUAAUAAUCCCUGCUGAACCCCAGUCUGAAUGCAGGCAGGAGAGCUGUGCAUGCCGGUUCGGUGAGCAGGGCCCUGGGGGAGGUCCGUCUCAUGGUUCUGUAUCCUACAGAUAUCUAGGCAGGGAAGGGAGAUUUGAGCCAGCCCAGAGGAGGCAGGCGCUGGGAGGGGGACCCAGUCUUGAAAGUUCACACACAACCAUUUCCUCCAGUUGCCAGAGAGUUCCUGAAUGAAGUCUCACAGGAAGCAGGAGGAAUUUGUGCGAGAACAAUAGAACAACACUAGGAAGAAGAAAUCUGAAGAGAGGACAGCGAGAGAGAGGCCUAAAUAAAGCUCUUCUUUACAGAGUAGCAGAUCACAAGUUACUCUGAGGGUCCUACAGGGCCACGAAGACCACCUGGUUAUUAUUAGUGCUAUUUUUAAUGAAGGUUUUAUUAAUUCCUUUUGUUUUCAUAUCAUAGUCAUUUCCAGAUUUUACCCUUUCCCUAAACCCAGUGACUCUUGCCUUGUAGCACAGAAAAAGAGAUAAGCGAAACUAUCUGUUGCUGAUACCAUAUCUGAUUAUGUAUGCAACAUUCUGCACCCACAGAUUCCCACCUCUCUAAUGAAAGAAAGAGGACCCAUUUUCUCAUCUCUUCUCUGGGGCCAAGAUUGGCUAUUAUGAUUAUGUAGUGUUUAACUUAAUUUUAGAGUUUACAUUCUUGUAGCAAUUGAAUACAUGGCUUCCAGCUUCUGCAGACUUCACUCUGCAUCAGUUCAUAUAAGUCUACACAUGUUUCUCUGAAUUCUCAUAUUCAUUCUUUUU